This 253-nucleotide ribosomal RNA is filed under the name uncultured Bacteroidales bacterium. Its description in RNAcentral is "partial 16S ribosomal RNA". It matches the Rfam family "Bacterial small subunit ribosomal RNA", at positions 524 to 776 of the family's 1533-position model. Lineage: Bacteria; Pseudomonadati; Bacteroidota; Bacteroidia; Bacteroidales. The record is from RNAcentral.
UACGUAGGGGGCAAGCGUUAUCCGGAUUUACUGGGUGUAAAGGGAGCGUAGACGGCCAGACAAGUCAGAAGUGAAAGCCCAGGGCUCAACCCUGGGACUGCUUUUGAAACUGCCGGGCUGGAGUUGGAGAGAAGUACGCGGAAUGCGCGGUGUAGCGGUGAAAUGCUUAGAUAUCGCGCAGAACCCCGAUUGCGAAGGCAGCGUACCGGCUCCACACUGACGCUGAGGCACGAAAGCGUGGGUAUCGAACAGG